RNAcentral lists this ribosomal RNA (55 nucleotides) under Pyrenochaeta sp. RNAcentral describes it as "partial 28S ribosomal RNA". Lineage: Eukaryota; Fungi; Ascomycota; Dothideomycetes; Pleosporales; Cucurbitariaceae. The record is from RNAcentral.
UCUUGACCUCGGAUCAGGUAGGGAUACCCGCUGAACUUAAGCAUAUCAAUAAGCG